GCCUGGUGCUUAAAAUGCAAGUCGAACGAUGAAGCCCAGCUUGCUGGGUGGAUUAGUGGCGAACGGGUGAGUAACACGUGAGUAACCUGCCCCCGACUCUGGGAUAAGCCCGGGAAACUGGGUCUAAUACCGGAUAUUACCUUUGACCGCAUGGUUGUUGGUGGAAAGAUUUAUCGGUGGGGGAUGGACUCGCGGCCUAUCAGCUUGUUGGUGAGGUAAUGGCUCACCAAGGCGACGACGGGUAGCCGGCCUGAGAGGGUGACCGGCCACACUGGGACUGAGACACGGCCCAGACUCCUACGGGAGGCAGCAGUGGGGAAUAUUGCACAAUGGGCGAAAGCCUGAUGCAGCGACGCCGCGUGAGGGAUGACGGCCUUCGGGUUGUAAACCUCUUUCAGUAGGGAAGAAGCGAAAGUGACGGUACCUGCAGAAGAAGCGCCGGCUAACUACGUGCCAGCAGCCGCGGUAAUACGUAGGGCGCAAGCGUUAUCCGGAUUUAUUGGGCGUAAAGAGCUCGUAGGCGGUUUGUCGCGUCUGCCGUGAAAGUCCGAGGCUCAACCUCGGAUCUGCGGUGGGUACGGGCAGACUAGAGUGAUGUAGGGGAGACUGGAAUUCCUGGUGUAGCGGUGAAAUGCGCAGAUAUCAGGAGGAACACCGAUGGCGAAGGCAGGUCUCUGGGCAUUUACUGACGCUGAGGAGCGAAAGCAUGGGGAGCGAACAGGAUUAGAUACCCUGGUAGUCCAUGCCGUAAACGUUGGGCACUAGGUGUGGGGGACAUUCCACGUUUUCCGCGCCGUAGCUAACGCAUUAAGUGCCCCGCCUGGGGAGUACGGCCGCAAGGCUAAAACUCAAAGGAAUUGACGGGGGCCCGCACAAGCGGCGGAGCAUGCGGAUUAAUUCGAUGCAACGCGAAGAACCUUACCAAGGCUUGACAUGUGCCAGACCGCCUCAGAGAUGGGGUUUCCCUUCGGGGCUGGUUCACAGGUGGUGCAUGGUUGUCGUCAGCUCGUGUCGUGAGAUGUUGGGUUAAGUCCCGCAACGAGCGCAACCCUCGUUCCAUGUUGCCAGCACGUAAAGGUGGGGACUCAUGGGAGACUGCCGGGGUCAACUCGGAGGAAGGUGGGGAUGACGUCAAAUCAUCAUGCCCCUUAUGUCUUGGGCUUCACGCAUGCUACAAUGGCCGGUACAAUGGGUUGCGAUACUGUGAGGUGGAGCUAAUCCCUAAAAGCCGGUCUCAGUUCGGAUUGGGGUCUGCAACUCGACCCCAUGAAGUCGGAGUCGCUAGUAAUCGCAGAUCAGCAACGCUGCGGUGAAUACGUUCCCGGGCCUUGUACACACCGCCCGUCAAGUCACGAAAGUUGGUAACACCCGAAGCCGAUGGCCUAACCACCUUGUGUGGGGGGAGUCGUCGAAGGUGGGACUGGCGAUUGGGACUAAGUCGAACAAGAGCAG
Molecule: ribosomal RNA, 1452 nt
Filed under: Glutamicibacter nicotianae
Lineage: Bacteria; Bacillati; Actinomycetota; Actinomycetes; Micrococcales; Micrococcaceae
Description: bacterial SSU rRNA
Rfam family: Bacterial small subunit ribosomal RNA
Source: RNAcentral